GAAAUGCGAUAAGUAAUGUGAAUUGCAGAAUUCAGUGAAUCAUCGAAUCUUUGAACGCACAUUGCGCCCCCUGGUAUUCCGGGGGGCAUGCCUGUUCGAGCGUCAUUUCACCACUCAAGCCUCGCUUGGUAUUGGGCAACGCGGUCCGCCGCGUGCCUCAAAUCGACCGGCUGGGUCUUCUGUCCCCUAAGCGUUGUGGAAACUAUUCGCUAAAGGGUGUUCGGGAGGCUACGCCGUAAAACAACCCCAUUUCCAAGGUUGACCUCGGAUCAGGUAGGGAUACCCGCUGAACUUAAGC
Molecule: unclassified non-coding RNA, 298 nt
Filed under: plant metagenome
Description: partial contains 5.8S ribosomal RNA, internal transcribed spacer 2, and large subunit ribosomal RNA
Rfam family: 5.8S ribosomal RNA (bases 1-105)
Source: RNAcentral